CACGUAGGAGGCAAACGUUAUCCGGAUUUACUGGGCGUAAAGCGCGUGUAGGUGGUUCUGUAAGUAGGGCGUGAAAGCUCCCGGCUCAACUGGGAGAGGCCGUUCUAAACUGCAGAGCUAGAGGAUGGUAGAGGGAGGUGGAAUUCCAGGUGUAGCGGUUGAAUGCGCAGAUAUCUGGAGGAACACCAGUGGCGAAGGCGGCCUCCUGGACCAUUCCUGACACUCAGACGCGAAAGCUAGGGUAGCAAACGGGAUUAGAUACUCGCGUAGU
This 271-nucleotide ribosomal RNA is filed under the name uncultured prokaryote. RNAcentral describes it as "partial 16S ribosomal RNA". It matches the Rfam family "Bacterial small subunit ribosomal RNA", at positions 524 to 794 of the family's 1533-position model. The record is from RNAcentral.